Molecule: long non-coding RNA, 3441 nt
Organism: Homo sapiens (human)
Lineage: Eukaryota; Metazoa; Chordata; Mammalia; Primates; Hominidae
Gene: GMDS-DT
Product: GMDS divergent transcript
Source: Ensembl
ACCGCGCGGGAGGGGCGGGGCCUGCCGCCGCCACCGCCUCAGGGAAGAGGAAGGAGGCCGCGGCUUCGCGUCCCGCCUCUCGCCUGGCUGGCCGUGGGGGGCCUGGACGCAGUGGCCUCCCGAAUCUCCCAGGACCCUAAUAUCGCCCGAGGAUGCUGGGAGGAACGCUGAGCCGACCUCUCCGUUAGGCUGAAGAUUGCACAAACCAUGCUAAUGGCCAGCAUGGAUGGAGGGAGCGUGUGAGAUGUGUGGGGCAGCGUGCUGCAUCUCAGCCAACUCCAGGAGGGCCUGUCUUGAGAUGCACCUUGUUUGCCCACGGGGGAAACGUGCUUUGGAAAGUGCUGGACACCAUGGCUGUGCAGGCCCAAGAAGAUGGAACGAAGUCUGUUUGUGGAAACACCCUUCCCCUCUGUUUACUUGGACCUGAUUUUGAAAGUAACAAGUCACUUUAUUUGGGCUGGAGGAAAAAGCACUAAACCAGAUGUUGAGGUGACCGGGAUUCCUGGAAGACAUUCUUCUCUCCAACGAGACACAUGAUGCAUGAAGUAGGAGCCCCUGGCAAGGAGCCCAGGCUGCCAUGGCCUCGCUCGCUCCUGCUUCCCGGCAUGGCCCCGAGGCUAGCUGCCUCUGUACUGCCUGAGCAUCGUCCCCUGGCGUGUCACCAGACUACCCACUACCUGUGCUUGCACCUGCAGGUGGGCAGUUCAGUCGUUGCAGGCUGAAGCUCCCUGUCACAGGAGUCCAUCAGCACUGGAGUUUACCAAAUGGCCCAGUCCAGGAAGCAUGCUCAUGGCAAUACCCGGAGUCUCCACUGCAAGACCAGAGUGACGGAGGCAGCAGAGCUCCUCAGCAGGCCAGGAGUCUCCAGAGGCACUGCCGAAUGUCUAAGAAGCAACCUCAUUGUAUUCCCAAGACCUGGGAAUCCAGGUCUCGCAGAUACGAUGAUACAAUCUAUAGCCAGGACAUCUCUUCAUGUGUAGGAUAAGCAACUAUCCCAGUCUUCCCAGGAUUGAGGGGCUUCUCCAGAUGCUGCACUUCUGGUGCUAAAAAUGAGAAACUGAAAUGAAUUAGUCACCCAAGGAAUGCUGACCCUGUGCUAUAUGAUCACAUUUACUCUUUAAAGCAAUGCUUUGAGGCCAAGCUAUAAAUAAAGGGUGGACUGACCUUGUCAACUGUUAAAUUGGAGCCGUGGUGCGUUGCCUAGAACAUUGCGGAUGACCCCGAGCAGCACAGCAGAUCAACGGCUGAGAAAGAGCUCAUUCAGCUCAUCUAACUAGGAUGCUGUCCUGCCAGAGCCCUGGGGGUUCUCGUCUCCUGGGGCAAAAGCAGCAUGCAACCCUUAUGAACCCAUCUUGGAAGGCAUUCGGGGAGCCCAAGACAAGACCAUUGGGAGCCUCAGGGUCACUUGUGGGGGUCUCUGUGCUGGACGGCUGUACCUCUCAUGAAAUGGACAACUGACCAUAAGAAGGAGGUAAGUUACGCAUGGACGGGAAAAUAAGAAGCUCCUACUUAGGGCUGUGAUAUGUGCGGUAACCAUUUAACGUUAAUAGCAUCCAUGUGAGACAGGUGCUAGUACUGCCCCAUUUCAUAUUGGCGGACAUUGAGGCACACAGACUGUAUGACUUGCCCAAGGCUGCCCACCUGGUUAGGGGAGCUCCAGGAUUCCAAUCCAGUCCGAACUCAACACGAGGGGUGGCACCUACAGGCUGGGGUCAAUCUGGAAGACUGCCUGUUGUAUGGCCUGGCAACUAAAAAUUGUUUUUUACAUUUUUAAAUGGUUGACAAAAUUAAAAUAAGAGAAUAUUUCAUGACAUCAUCAAAUUACACGAAAUGCAAAUUUCAGCAUCUACAAAUACAGUUUGAUUGGGACACAGCCACCCUCAUCCGUUUGCAGGCUAUCCCUGGCUGCUUACAGGGUCCACAUAGUCCAUAAAGCCUGAGAUAUUUACUAUCUGGCCUUUUACAGAAAAAGUCCCCAAACACUAAUCUGAAAUGUUUGCAUCAGAACCCCUUGUGGGGCUUGUUAGAAUGCAGCUCCCUGGUCCCACACCCAGUCUCUGAUUCAGUAAGUCUGGAGCAGGGCCUGGGAAUUUACAUUUCAAAAUAAUUUCCCAGGUGAUGCUCAUACUGGUCCACAGACCACUUUGAGAGCCACUACCCUAAACCCCAGUGCUCUACUGCUUGUUGUCAGGAUGGCUGGGUCAGGUGAGAAAGAAGCCUAGACAUCCCUAGAGCCACCUGCUGUGCAGCCACCUUUUGAGAAAGUGUCCCCAGUGAUCUUUUCCCAGGUUAGCCUUUGUGGCUUGGGCAUCCAGCCUUUCAGAGAUAUGAAACCACACACGUCUUCAGAGUGAACAGCUGCUCACCCCGAUGUGCUCAAGGGGUGCAGGAUGUGGACACAUCCUACUGAAUGAGCCAGACAACGUAACUGGAUCUGUCCAGAACACCACGAUGGGUGACAUUGCCAUCUGCAGCAGUGCUGUACUUCCUCCCGCCAAUUUGUAAAGUGCAGACAGGAUGCUGGAUCAACUGGCUGCUGCUGAGGCCAGUGACCUCUAGGGCGUAUUCCCACGUUCCUUUGCAGUAGCUGCUCACCUUUGUAAGCAUGUGAGUUAUUCGUGCUGUCUGUUGUGAUCCUAAGGAAUCCAAUGGUCAGGACCAGAACUUCUGAAGUACAGCCCAGCAUUGCCGUCUGGCAUCCCCAGAAAGCAGAUUUUGAGAUUGGCAUGAUGGCCGUUAAGCAGGGCGUUCUCUCUGGAGCAAUGUCUAGCCGGGGUCGGAGUGGGGAGAGAGAGAGGGGGGCUGCUGAGAAUAUCACAGAGAGAUGGCAGCCUUUCUGCAGCAUAGGCCUAAGUGCACACUCACCUGGCUAUCACUGAGAGGACUCUCUGUUCAACAGGGCCACUCAGGGCUUCCCCUGCAUGGAGAUCUGAGUGUCCAGGGAGGGGACGUGGUGAGCAUUUCUCUGGUCAAAGUGUGCAAAGCAAAAUCUGCCCCAUUCCUGCCAAAGUGGUUGACAUGGAGGAAAGGGGAGUGCCAGUUCUGUAGGCUGAGGUGGUGGCUGUUAGAACUGCUCCUAGGCUAGUUGGUGUUCUGGAAGGUUCCCCUCUAUGUGAGAUGAAAGAGCAUAUCUUUAAGAGCUGCAACUUUGAAGCUCUAAUAUAGAAUGCUUUUGGUGGCAAGCAUUACUUCGGAAAGGGCUUGAAGACCCCUGAAGAUCCUUGGUGGCCUAGGCAGUUCCUUUAUUGCCAGGGCUGUGCAGGACUAAGCUUCAACAGCGCCACCAUGUGACAAGAAGCAAUUGCAGUGGUGCAUUGAGGGUUUUCUUUUGCACUGAGAACUCAAGUCCCACUUUCACCCUUGGACCUGGUAAAUCUUUGGGGUUCAUGGACAAUUCUGAGGAGGAGAUACUUAAGAGAGUGAUGUUAGAAUUUGAUGUUU